CUACGGGGGGCUGCAGCAGGGAAUUUUGGACAAUGGGGGCAACCCUGAUCCAGCCAUGCCGCGUGAGUGAAGAAGGCCUUCGGGUUGUAAAGCUCUUUCAGCCGGGAAGAAAUCGCAUGGGUCAAUACCCUGUGCGGAUGACGGUACCGGAAUAAGAAGCACCGGCUAACUACGUGCCAGCAGCCGCGGUAAUACGUAGGGUGCGAGCGUUAAUCGGAAUGACUGGGCGUAAAGCGUGCGCAGGCGGAUGCUUAAGUCAGAUGUGAAAUCCCCGGGCUUAACCUGGGAAUUGCAUUUGAAACUGGGGGGCUAGAGUGCGUCAGAGGGGGGUGGAAUUCCACGUGUAGCAGUGAAAUGUGUAGAUAUGUGGAGGAACACCAAUGGCGAAGGCAGCCCCCUGGGAUGACACUGACGCUCAUGCACGAAAGCGUGGGGAGCAAACAGGAUUAGAUACCCGCGUAGUC
RNAcentral lists this ribosomal RNA (464 nucleotides) under uncultured bacterium. RNAcentral's name for it is "partial 16S ribosomal RNA". It matches the Rfam family "Bacterial small subunit ribosomal RNA", at positions 339 to 795 of the family's 1533-position model. The record is from RNAcentral.